This 578-nucleotide ribosomal RNA is filed under the name uncultured bacterium. RNAcentral's name for it is "bacterial SSU rRNA". It matches the Rfam family "Bacterial small subunit ribosomal RNA", at positions 338 to 916 of the family's 1533-position model. The record is from RNAcentral.
CCUACGGGAGGCAGCAGUAAGGAAUAUUGGUCAAUGGACGCAAGUCUGAACCAGCCAUGCCGCGUGAAGGAUGAAGGUCCUCUGGAUUGUAAACUUCUUUUAUAGGGGACGAAAAAAGAGAAUUCUUUCUCACUUGACGGUACCCUAGGAAUAAGCACCGGCUAACUCCGUGCCAGCAGCCGCGGUAAUACGGAGGGUGCAAGCGUUAUCCGGAUUUACUGGGUUUAAAGGGUGCGUAGGUGGGUCUGUAAGUCAGUGGUGAAAUCUCCGGGCUUAACCCGGAAACUGCCAUUGAUACUAUAGAUCUUGAAUACUCUGGAGGUAAGCGGAAUAUGUCAUGUAGCGGUGAAAUGCUUAGAUAUGACAUAGAACACCAAUUGCGAAGGCAGCUUACUACGGGGUUAUUGACACUGAGGCACGAAAGCGUGGGGAUCAAACAGGAUUAGAUACCCUGGUAGUCCACGCCCUAAACGAUGGAUACUCGACAUCAGCGAUACACUGUUGGUGUCUGAGCGAAAGCAUUAAGUAUCCCACCUGGGAAGUACGAUCGCAAGAUUGAAACUCAAAGGAAUUGACGG